RNAcentral lists this ribosomal RNA (424 nucleotides) under Enterobacter sp. Ma76. RNAcentral describes it as "bacterial SSU rRNA". It matches the Rfam family "Bacterial small subunit ribosomal RNA", at positions 954 to 1376 of the family's 1533-position model. Lineage: Bacteria; Pseudomonadati; Pseudomonadota; Gammaproteobacteria; Enterobacterales; Enterobacteriaceae. The record is from RNAcentral.
CCCUAACGCGAAGAACCUUACCUACUCUUGACAUCCAGAGAACUUUCCAGAGAUGGAUUGGUGCCUUCGGGAACUCUGAGACAGGUGCUGCAUGGCUGUCGUCAGCUCGUGUUGUGAAAUGUUGGGUUAAGUCCCGCAACGAGCGCAACCCUUAUCCUUUGUUGCCAGCGGUUAGGCCGGGAACUCAAAGGAGACUGCCAGUGAUAAACUGGAGGAAGGUGGGGAUGACGUCAAGUCAUCAUGGCCCUUACGAGUAGGGCUACACACGUGCUACAAUGGCGCAUACAAAGAGAAGCGACCUCGCGAGAGCAAGCGGACCUCAUAAAGUGCGUCGUAGUCCGGAUUGGAGUCUGCAACUCGACUCCAUGAAGUCGGAAUCGCGAUAGUAAUCGUAGAUCAGAAUAUAAAGGGGAGAGAACUCCCG